RNAcentral lists this ribosomal RNA (460 nucleotides) under uncultured bacterium. Its description in RNAcentral is "partial 16S ribosomal RNA". It matches the Rfam family "Bacterial small subunit ribosomal RNA", at positions 338 to 795 of the family's 1533-position model. The record is from RNAcentral.
CCUACGGGAGGCAGCAGUGAGGAAUAUUGGUCAAUGGACGAGAGUCUGAACCAGCCAAGUAGCGUGAAGGAUGACUGCCCUAUGGGUUGUAAACUUCUUUUAUAAAGGAAUAAAACGAGGCACGUGUGCCUUUUUGCAUGUACUUUAUGAAUAAGGAUCGGCUAACUCCGUGCCAGCAGCCGCGGUAAUACGGAGGAUCCGAGCGUUAUCCGGAUUUAUUGGGUUUAAAGGGAGCGUAGAUGGGUUGUUAAGUCAGUGGUGAAAGUUUGCGGCUCAACCGUAAAAUUGCAAUUGAUACUGGCAUUCUUGAGUACAGUUGAGGUAGGCGGAAUUCGUGGUGUAGCGGUGAAAUGCUUAGAUAUCACGAAGAACCCCGAUUGCGAAGGCAGCUUACUAAACUGUGACUGACAUUGAUGCUCGAAAGUGUGGGUAUCAAACAGGAUUAGAUACCCCUGUAGUC